CUCUUAGUGCGCAUGUGUGAGCCCUCUCAUCCGACUCCUGAGAUCUUAUCAGGAAGCUGCUGAUCACCAGCUUCAGGUGUUUCUAUUUAUUGGGAGACUGUCUUUCCCUGGCACCAGCUGCAACCAAUGAUUACUUUAGAGAGACAGUUUAACAACUGCCUGACCAUCACCUGAUGGUCAUCUGACAUUCCCAGGACUCCAGAUAAGAGCCCAGGCCAAAGGACACCUUGAUUUUGACCUUGUCAGACCUGGAGUUGAAAAACCAGCUGCACCCUUCUAGAAUUCUUACUUACAAAACUGGAGAUGUUACAAGACAAGAUGAUUUCACUGGAAGCUGAGUUUUGCCAGCUUUGGGGAAAUGCUGAUGCAGAACAUCAUUUAUUUAAGGCUGAUACUCAUGGAUAGAAGAGUCAAAGUGCGAAUAUAUGCACCCUUCUAUACGGAUUCUGCAGAAAGAUAUGCUUGGGUCAUGACUCAGCUAUUUACAAAGUUGCUGGUGACUAAUUGCUGGAAAGAAGCUGGGACGUUCUGUGGCCCCUCCAUUUUAUAUCCCCUCCCUUUGGUUCUCUAGGAAAUUGAGUUCAGGAAAGCUACCAGGAAUAAAACUCUUACUUUUUA
This 618-nucleotide long non-coding RNA is filed under the name Homo sapiens (human). RNAcentral's name for it is "HSALNT0321588". Lineage: Eukaryota; Metazoa; Chordata; Mammalia; Primates; Hominidae. The record is from RNAcentral.